This 1193-nucleotide ribosomal RNA is filed under the name uncultured bacterium. Its description in RNAcentral is "bacterial SSU rRNA". It matches the Rfam family "Bacterial small subunit ribosomal RNA", at positions 21 to 1179 of the family's 1533-position model. The record is from RNAcentral.
GGCUCAGGACCAUUGCUGGCGGCGUGCCUAAUACAUGCAAGUCGAACGCACUGACGUCGACAGAAGGUGCUUGCACUGGAAGUUGAUUGACGUGAGUGGCGGACGGGUGAGUAACACGUGGGUAACCUGCCCUUAAGCGGGGGAUAACAUUUGGAAACAGAUGCUAAUACCGCAUAAAAGUUGAGAUCACAUGGUCUUAAUUUGAAAGACGGCCUUUGGCUGUCACUUAAGGAUGGACCCGCGGCGUAUUAGCUAGUUGGUGAGAUAAUAGCCCACCAAGGCGAUGAUACGUAGCCGACCUGAGAGGGUAAUCGGCCACAUUGGGACUGAGACACGGCCCAAACUCCUACGGGAGGCAGCAGUAGGGAAUCUUCCACAAUGGACGAAAGUCUGAUGGAGCAACGCCGCGUGAGUGAAGAAGGUUUUCGGAUCGUAAAACUCUGUUGUUGGAGAAGAACAGGGACUAGAGUAACUGUUAGUCCUUUGACGGUAUCCAACCAGAAAGCCACGGCUAACUACGUGCCAGCAGCCGCGGUAAUACGUAGGUGGCAAGCGUUGUCCGGAUUUAUUGGGCGUAAAGCGAGCGCAGGCGGUUUCUUAAGUCUGAUGUGAAAGCCUUCGGCUUAACCGAAGAAGUGCAUCAGAUACUGGGAAACUUGAGUGCAGAAGAGGAAAGUGGAACUCCAUGUGUAGCGGUGAAAUGCGUAGAUAUAUGGAAGAACACCAGUGGCGAAGGCGGCUUUCUGGUCUGUAACUGACGCUGAGGCUCGAAAGUAUGGGGAGCGAACAGGAUUAGAUACCCUGGUAGUCCAUACCGUAAACGAUGAAUGCUAAGUGUUGGAGGGUUUCUGCCCUUCAGUGCUGCAGCUAACGCAUUAAGCAUUCCGCCUGGGGAGUACGACCGCAAGGUUGAAACUCAAAGGAAUUGACGGGGGCCCGCACAAGCGGUGGAGCAUGUGGUUUAAUUCGAAGCAACGCGAAGAACCUUACCAGGUCUUGACAUCUAGCGCCAAUCCUAGAGAUAGGACGUUCCCUUCGGGGACGCUAAGACAGGUGGUGCAUGGUUGUCGUCAGCUCGUGUCGUGAGAUGUUGGGUUAAGUCCCGCAACGAGCGCAACCCUUAUGAUUAGUUGCCAGCAUUUAGUUGGGCACUCUAAUCAGACUGCCGGUGACAAACCGGAGGAAGGUGGGGA